UACGUAGGUGGCAAGCGUUAUCCGGAAUUAUUGGGCGUAAAGGGAGCGUAGGCGGUUUGAUAAGUCUGAGGUGAAAGUUCGGGGCUCAACUCCGGAUUGCCUUAGAAACUGUCAGACUAGAGUGCAGGAGAGGGCAAUGGAAUUCCAUGUGUAGCGGUAAAAUGCGUAGAUAUAUGGAGGAACACCAGUGGCGAAGGCGGUUGCCUGGCCUGUAACUGACGCUGAGGCUCGAAAGCGU
Molecule: ribosomal RNA, 238 nt
Filed under: uncultured bacterium
Lineage: Bacteria
Description: partial 16S ribosomal RNA
Rfam family: Bacterial small subunit ribosomal RNA
Source: RNAcentral